UAUGUUUAUGUGUGGUAAUUAAUCGUUUUGUGGGAGAAUGUAGGUGCUGUUGUGGAGGUUGAAUGCAAAGCAGGGUGGAAAGUGAUCAAGGCCUAUGGUGAAACUAAGAGCAAUGGAAAGUACAGUAUCACAGUUAAGGAUUUUGACUAUGUCAAGUAUGGACCCACAGUGUGCAAGGCCAAGCUUUAUGCUCCACCUAAACACUCCCCCUUCAACACACCUACUAAAUUCAACGAAGUAACCAAGUUGAAGGUGAAAUCUAAGGACAAGUAUGAAGUGGUGCUUAAGGCUAAGCCAUUUGCUUAUGCUUCAAAGAAGUAUUUUAAAGAAUGUGAAAAGCCUUCACCCACUCCUUACUACUACAAAUCACCUCCUCUUCCAACUCCCGUUUACAAAUACAACUCUCCACCUCCACCAUCACCAAAACCUACACCAUCAUACUACUAUAAAUCACCACCCCCACCUUCACCAUCCCCUCCUCCUCCAUACUAUUACAAGUCACCUCCACCACCAUCUCCAUCACCCCCACCUCCUUAUUAUUACAAAUCCCCACCACCACCAUCUCCAUCACCACCUCCUUACUAUUACAAAUCCCCUCCACCACCAUCCCCAUCACCACCACCUCCAUACUACUACAANCCUCCACCACCAUCCCCAUCACCACCACCUCCAUACUACUACAAAUCACCACCACCACCAUCUCCAUCACCACCACCUCCCUAUUACUAUAAAUCACCCCCACCACCAUCUCCAUCACCGCCACCUCCUUACUAUUACAAAUCCCCACCACCACCAUCCCCCUCACCACCACCUCCAUAUUACUAUAAAUCACCUCCACCACCAUCUCCUUCACCACCACCUCCAUACUACUACAAAUCCCCGCCACCACCAUCCCCAUCACCACCACCUCCAUACUACUACAAAUCCCCUCCACCUCCCUCUCCAUCUCCACCACCUCCCUAUUACUAUAAAUCACCUCCGCCACCAUCUCCAUCACCACCACCUCCUUACUAUUACAAAUCCCCUCCCCCACCAUCCCCGUCUCCACCCCCUCCUUAUUACUAUCAAAGUCCUCCUCCACCAGUAAAGUCACCUCCACCUCCAGCUUACACCUAUGCUUCCCCACCUCCACCUAUCUACAAAUAAGCUGCGAAUGCGAAAGCACCACUCAUGAUAAAUCACGUAAGUUUACGUUCCUUUCUUCCUUACACUCAGAAAGAAAAAGAAAAUAUCAUUACCGGUAUAUGCAUAAAUUUUUGUAAUAAAAGUUACUAUUUAAUUUCUUACAGAUUCUUGUUUUCAUUGAGGAAUAAAGACAAUCUCCAUUUCGAGCCAAGUGAUCUAUCUUCCUAUUUAAGUUUUUUGAAUAAAAGUCUGAAGGUGUGUCAUCUCUGCACUUCUAUACUCGUGAUUCAGACCCGAUUGAUUCUAUCUGUUUGCUUGCACGUUCCAAUCUUGUUGUGUUUAAAUGCCUCACAGAUCAGAACAUGAGAGAUUUGAAAUGUAAAUGACAAGUGAAAGUGAAAAAUAUAGUACAUUUUUAAUUUAUUUGUUCCUAGAUUAAUUGGCCAUGUACAAUUGGUUUUCAUUUAUGCGGCAUUUCUGUAUUGUACCAUGUCGUAUUUGUGAUAACAGUAUUAUUACAUUAGAAAUAAAACAUUUAAGCAUUGCAUUCAGCUUUUCUCUUCCCAACUGCUAGUAUUAAUGGUUACCAAAGUUUCAAAUAGCUCCAUUGUUUAUUAGAGUCUUCUAAACAUUCUGGAUAGCAAAAAAUAAAUCUGCUGAUAAAAUUUUUAGUUCUUUUCAAAUUAACUCAUAAACAAAUAAAAAAUGAAAAACAUUGAUUUCAUUACUAAUUACUAUCAGAGUGUCCAACGACAUUUUAAAUUUUAUCUAUUCUAAUAAAUAAAAUGCGCAACAAUAACUAAAUCACAACAGUAGGAGUCAACUGCGCAUAAACUUUAUCUAUAAUACUUACGUAGUUUUCUAGUCUUGGAGAUCACGGACAUAUAAUAGUGUUGUUCUAACCAUAUCUCAUUGAAUCUACUGUUGUUACUUUUCUUCUCUAAUACAGUUUCCGAACUCUUUCUUCUCUAGGGCUCCCUAUUUCUAAAUGUUCUUCGAGUAUACCUAUACCUAGAACUUUUUCUUUUCACAUCAAAUUUGUCUGAUAAGAACUGUGUGGAAUUGAAGGAAAGGGAUUCAUGCACUACAAGAAAAUUUGGUUUUAGAAACCAAAUUAUUAGUCUCUAAAAUGAUCAAAUUAGUCACUAAUUCAAGUUGAGACCAAUUUAGAGUCUAAUAGUCAUAAGUAGCUAAACUUUGGUAACUAAUGCUAGAUACCAAUUUAGCUUCUAAUUUAGAAACUAAUUUUGUGACCAAAUAUAUAGCAACUAAUUGCAUAGAAAUUAAUUUAGCAACCAAUUAUAUCAAAACUAUUUUAGCAAGCAAAUAUAUAAAAACCAAUUUAGCAACCAAAUAUAUAGAAACCAAUUUAGUAACCAUGUUAUAUAGAAACCAAUCUUGUGACCAUAUUACCAUAUUAUAUAGAAAUCGAUUUAGUAACCAAAUAUAUAAAGAUCAAAAGAUGGCCACUAUAUUGGUCUCUAAAUAAUGAUAAUUUGUUUUAAAACAUUUUCUAGUUAUUUUAUCUACCUAAUCUUUCAUAUUUUAUAUUUAUUUCUAAAUUUAAUUUCAAUAAUUUUAAAAUAAAUUAUCAAUAAUUAAAAUUUACUUUUUACUAUAGUUUAAAUUAUUUAUUACAAAUUCAAAUUUAAAUAUUUUAAUUUAAUUUUCCACUAUGAUCAAUUUCGUAUCACAA
Molecule: long non-coding RNA, 2821 nt
Filed under: Vigna radiata
Lineage: Eukaryota; Viridiplantae; Streptophyta; Magnoliopsida; Fabales; Fabaceae
Description: long non-coding RNA (VRAD_LNC009244)
Source: RNAcentral